RNAcentral lists this ribosomal RNA (253 nucleotides) under uncultured bacterium. RNAcentral describes it as "partial 16S ribosomal RNA". It matches the Rfam family "Bacterial small subunit ribosomal RNA", at positions 524 to 776 of the family's 1533-position model. The record is from RNAcentral.
AACGUAGGGGGCAAGCGUUGCCCGGAUUCACUGGGCGUAAAGCGGGUGUAGGCGGUCCUCUAAGUCAGAUGUGAAAUCCUACGGCUCAACCGUGGAACUGCAUCUGAUACUGGAGGACUUGAGGACGGUAGAGGUCGGUGGAAUCCCCGGUGUACCGGUGAAAUGGGCAGAUAUCGGGGGGAACACCAGUGGCGAAGGCGGCCGACUGGGCCGAUCCUGACGCUGAGACCCGAAAGCCAGGGUAGCGAACCGG